RNAcentral lists this ribosomal RNA (482 nucleotides) under uncultured bacterium. Its description in RNAcentral is "bacterial SSU rRNA". It matches the Rfam family "Bacterial small subunit ribosomal RNA", at positions 30 to 492 of the family's 1533-position model. The record is from RNAcentral.
AUUGAACGCUGGCGGCGUGCUUAACACAUGCAAGUCGAACGUGAAAGUCCUUCGGGAUGAGUAAAGUGGCGCACGGGUGAGUAACGCGUGGAUAAUCUACCCUUAAGAUGGGGAUAACGGCUGGAAACGGUCGCUAAUACCGAAUACGCUCCCGAUUUUAUCAUUGGGGGGAAAGAUGGCCUCUGCUUGCAAGCUAUCGCUUAAGGAUGAGUCCGCGUCCCAUUAGCUAGUUGGCGGGGUAACGGCCCACCAAGGCAACGAUGGGUAGCCGGUCUGAGAGGAUGACCGGCCACACUGGAACUGGAACACGGUCCAGACUCCUACGGGAGGCAGCAGUGGGGAAUAUUGCGCAAUGGGCGAAAGCCUGACGCAGCGACGCCGCGUGAGGGAUGAAGGUUCUCGGAUCGUAAACCUCUGUCAGGGGGGAAGAAACCCCCUCGUGUGAAUAAUGCGAGGGCUUGACGGUACCCCCAAAGGAAGCA